ACUUUAACAUGGAGGUGCUUUCUGUGACUUAAAAGAAGUAAGUGCUUCCAUGUUUUAGUAG
RNAcentral lists this microRNA precursor (61 nucleotides) under Columba livia (rock pigeon). RNAcentral's name for it is "Cli-Mir-430-P1_pre stem-loop". It matches the Rfam family "mir-302 microRNA precursor family", at positions 6 to 63 of the family's 68-position model. The record is from RNAcentral. Lineage: Eukaryota; Metazoa; Chordata; Aves; Columbiformes; Columbidae.